RNAcentral lists this transfer RNA (74 nucleotides) under Caulobacter phage CcrColossus. It matches the Rfam family "tRNA". Rfam says of the family: Transfer RNA (tRNA) molecules are approximately 80 nucleotides in length. Their secondary structure includes four short double-helical elements and three loops (D, anti-codon, and T loops). The record is from Rfam by way of RNAcentral. Lineage: Duplodnaviria; Heunggongvirae; Uroviricota; Caudoviricetes; Jeanschmidtviridae.
CAGUGUGUGGCGCAGUUUGGUAGCGCGCUUGCUCGGGAUGCAAGAGGUCGCAGGUUCAAAUCCUGCUACACUGA